ACUCCUGCGGGAGGCAGCAGUGGGGAAUAUUGCACAAUGGGCGCAAGCCUGAUGCAGCCAUGCCGCGUGUAUGAAGAAGGCCUUCGGGUUGUAAAGUACUUUCAGCGGGGAGGAAGGCAAUACGGUUAAUAACCGUGUUGAUUGACGUUACCCGCAGAAGAAGCACCGGCUAACUCCGUGCCAGCAGCCGCGGUAAUACGGAGGGUGCAAGCGUUAAUCGGAAUUACUGGGCGUAAAGCGCACGCAGGCGGUCUGUCAAGUCGGAUGUGAAAUCCCCGGGCUCAACCUGGGAACUGCAUUCGAAACUGGCAGGCUUGAGUCUUGUAGAGGGGGGUAGAAUUCCAGGUGUAGCGGUGAAAUGCGUAGAGAUCUGGAGGAAUACCGGUGGCGAAGGCGGCCCCCUGGACAAAGACUGACGCUCAGGUGCGAAAGCGUGGGGAGCAAACAGGAUUAGAUACCCGAGUAGUCCCAUG
RNAcentral lists this ribosomal RNA (473 nucleotides) under uncultured organism. RNAcentral's name for it is "partial 16S ribosomal RNA". It matches the Rfam family "Bacterial small subunit ribosomal RNA", at positions 335 to 799 of the family's 1533-position model. The record is from RNAcentral.